RNAcentral lists this transfer RNA (63 nucleotides) under Sigaloeista cavanbah. Its description in RNAcentral is "tRNA-Val". The record is from RNAcentral. Lineage: Eukaryota; Metazoa; Mollusca; Gastropoda; Stylommatophora; Helicarionidae.
CUUAUAAGCCAAGUAUUAUGUAUAUAUCAUUUACAAUGAUAAGGUCUUUAUAAAAGGGCUUAU